UGUAACUGUAUCACGGCAUCACGAUGACUGAGCCAUCAGACGUGUUGGUUUGGUUGUGACUUUAGUGUGUCUCAGAUCACUGAAUAUCAAGCAGAGUCGGCUGUCAGCGUGUUUAUGAUGAUCUACUGCCAGCUGAAGAGGAAAGAAGCAUUGUGAAUGAAAAACACACGACUAAUGCAGACGCUUGACUUUAUAAACACCCAAGAACUAAACAAGAGAAGAGAAACAAAAGAGAAACAAAAGAAGAAGUCAGCUUUGGAUAACGUGACUAUCAUAACCAGGUCAGUGGAGUUAAUGUGGUCACUCUUGACUGAGAACAGUGGGUCAGACCUGAGCUCAGAGCAUGAGAACGGAAGGACGGUCCACACAGGAAAGAGCGUCUAAUGUUCCACACACAUGGCAGAAGACGGAGCGAGCAGAGCGUCAGAUCAUGAGUGAUGGAGGUCUGUCCGAGUGGCGCCGCAGUAUUGACUCGUGUGGAGUUAAAGAGGAGUGCUGUGACAGUGGAGUGUGAGGUAUCAGACGGACUCUCUGAGCUAUUGAGUGUCCUGGAUUUGGGAUUUGGAGCUUAACAGGUUUAAGUGCAUCAUUGUAACAGACCUGGAAUCUCUCCAGGUGAAUUAUCCACAGAUGGACGUGACCACAGCCAGCCAACAAACAUCAUUCUCCAGCUAACAGCUCCCGCUUCAUCAAUCAGCAGCAGCGCCGCUCCACACCGAGAGCCGUCACGCUCUUUAUGCUCACGAGAAAUGUGUGUGAGAAAUUUGCAGCCAUGCAAAACUUACUGUGAAAGAAAAAAGAAAAGAAAACUAGUAUUCAGUAAUAUUGCUGAUGACAUUAUGGGAUGAGAACAUAGUGAAUUGAACUGAGAUGCAUAAUGACAUUAUUGACUUCUCUAAAACUGCUUUACAGCUGAAAUUGAAUUUGAUUCACAAUUGAUGAAUUUUAUAUCAACACUGUUAUUUUCCUGCAAAUCUGUAUUUUAUAAAACACUAUAGAAAUAAAUAUAAUUUGAUAAUGUAAAAAAUUACUGUUUAGUAAAAGUUCCAAGCUGUCUUCUAACACAUAUAAAUAAAGUAGUUGAACAACGUUUUUGUUUCUAUCCAAAGUUUUGUUGAUCUAAGAGACUCUUAGAGUAAUCAAACGUGUCCAAGUAUUGUCCCAACUUUCCAAAUUGAGUCACAAACUGAACAAAUGUACAAAUUAUUUUACAGUUCCCAUCAUUCAUUGCAGCUUGAAAAAAAGAUUGCUGCCAGGCUUUUGUUUG
Cyprinus carpio carpio is the source of this 1267-nucleotide long non-coding RNA. The record is from Ensembl. NCBI's taxonomy places the organism in Eukaryota, Metazoa, Chordata, Actinopteri, Cypriniformes, Cyprinidae.